AUUGAACGCUGGCGGCAUGCCUUACACAUGCAAGUCGAACGGUAACAGGUCUUCGGAUGCUGACGAGUGGCGAACGGGUGAGUAAUACAUCGGAACGUGCCCGAUCGUGGGGGAUAACGAAGCGAAAGCUUUGCUAAUACCGCAUACGAUCUACGGAUGAAAGCAGGGGACCGCAAGGCCUUGCGCGAACGGAGCGGCCGAUGGCAGAUUAGGUAGUUGGUGGGAUAAAAGCUUACCAAGCCGACGAUCUGUAGCUGGUCUGAGAGGACGACCAGCCACACUGGGACUGAGACACGGCCCAGACUCCUACGGGAGGCAGCAGCGGGGAAUUUUGGACAAUGGGCGAAAGCCUGAUCCAGCCAUGCCGCGUGCAGGAUGAAGGCCUUCGGGUUGUAAACUGCUUUUGUACGGAACGAAAAGACUCUGGUUAAUACCUGGGGCCCAUGACGGUACCGUAAGAAUAAGCACCGGCUAACUACGUGCCAGCCGCCGCGGUAA
This 498-nucleotide ribosomal RNA is filed under the name uncultured bacterium. RNAcentral describes it as "partial 16S ribosomal RNA". It matches the Rfam family "Bacterial small subunit ribosomal RNA", at positions 30 to 523 of the family's 1533-position model. The record is from RNAcentral.